Molecule: RNA transcript, 1769 nt
Organism: Triticum dicoccoides
Lineage: Eukaryota; Viridiplantae; Streptophyta; Magnoliopsida; Poales; Poaceae
Exons: 5
Source: RefSeq, a predicted model, not a curated record
CCUCCGGUUCGAAAUACUCGUCGCGCUGGUCAAUUUGCAAAAACACCCACCCCUUUAUUCCGACACAACCCGCGAUCCUCGCCGCUGCUCUCGCCCCCUCCCGUGACUCUGCUUGCUCCGCCGCGCCAUCGUCGGCCUCCGUGCAGCUCGCCCGCGCCUUCCUCCCGCUCCCUCCUCCCUGCGUAGCUCCUCCGCCCCCUUCUCUACGCAGCUCGCCCGCUCCCUCCUCCGGCUUACUCCUCUGCGUAGCUCCCCCUCUCACUCCAUUGGGAAAAAUGGCAUCUUUCUCCUCUGCAGAACACAGCGCCGCCUAGCACUUCGCCAUGGACGCGCUCAGCUUCGUGGUACCGCGGAUCCUCCUCUUCGCUGUCACCCACGGCUCCGGGGUGUUCAUAGUGCCCUGCCGCAUCCCGCAAGGGCUCCGGGGUGGCUGGAGAUCUGUGGCGGUGGAGGGGAUCGUGCUGUCACCUCGCCGGACGGCUACAAGAAGGUCACCAUAUGAAGACCGCCUUCUUCAUCACCGCUCUAGAGUGGGCUUCAGACUGUUUGUGUGUUUCCUUAUCUUUCCCCAUUUGAACCUUCUCCGCAAGGUAGAAUAUGGUACAUCCAGAGACCUAGCGAGUGCCCUCAGUGUAGACCUUUUGUUGAGGGGAAUUGAAGGUAUCCUCGAGAGAUCAAGGAACUCAGUUAACAACAUGUUAUUGGAACUACUCCAAGAACAGAACAGAAUGGCAUGUUAAUGUCAGUUAACAACAUGUUAUUACUUCCAAGAACAAAACAGCAAAACAAAAGGUUUUGAUUUGCUUGCAGAUUUGUGAGUGUGAUCUUCAGAGUGUGAUUUGACAGUCUUCAGAGUGUGAUCACCAUUUCCUUGAUGAACACAACAGAGAGGAACCAGUUGACAGGAACAUCAAAGGAUCAAGAGGACAGUAGCCGCUGCCCGCUGCGUCGAGAGGAUCAAUAGGAGCAGCAGAUUAAUCACAGUUCAAAUCGCUCCAGCCUUGUGGUAUUUAGAGCACAAAUUCACGCCAAGAGGAGCAGAUGAUCAAUUCGAGUUGUCGGAGCUAUGAACGCCGGAGCAGCGGCGAAGGGUAAGGGAGCUGCGGACGCGGAGCAGCGGCAGAGGGUUAAGGAGCUGCGGACGGCGGAGCAGCGGCGGACCUUGGGCUCUCGAUUGGAGCGGAGGGUGGCGCCGGCGAGGGACCUGCGGCCGGCGGGGAAGGAUGUCGAUGUUGCGGCGGAGGGUGAGGGAGCUGCGGACGGCGGAGCAGCGCAGCAACGGCAGACCUCGGUGACGGAGCUCUCAAUUGGAGUGGAGGCAGGCAGCCGGCGGGGAAGGACAACGGCGCUGCGGCGGAGGGAGACAGAGCUGCGGAUGGCGGAGCAGCGCAGCAACAGCCGAAAUCAGGCUCUUGAUUGGGGCGGAGGUAGGCGGCCGGCGGGGAAGGACGGCGGAGCAGCGAAGGAGCUUCCAAGCCACGGGACGAGGGCCAGGAUGGAGAAGAUUCAAAACCGGGAGGACCUUUUUGCAAAAUGUUAUUUCUAUAGCGCUCGCGACAAGUAAUUGGAACCGGAGGGAGUACAAACAUACAACAAUUUCACUUAGUUGCCGUGGCCCACGGGCAAAAGAGGAACAAUAUAUCUAGAGUUCUAGACAUAAUUCCAAAUAUGGUUCAUGUGCAUGUAUGACUGUUGUGUUACAAUUGUAUGCAUGCUUUUUCCAAACAGUGACAUAGCUCCAAAAAAAAAUAUUUGUACACAUUGUGUCA